GUGACCUCAAAUCAGGUAGGACUACCCGCUGAACUUAAGCAUAUCAAUAAGCGGAGGAAAAGAAACUAACAAGGAUUCCCCUAGUAACUGCGAGUGAAGCGGGAAAAGCUCAAAUUUAAAAUCUGGCGGUCUAUGGCUGUCCGAGUUGUAAUCUAGAGAAGUGCUAUCCGCGCUGGACCGUGUACAAGUCUCCUGGAAUGGAGCGUCAUAGAGGGUGAGAAUCCCGUCUUUGACACGGACUGCCAGGGCUUUGUGAUACGCUCUCAAAGAGUCGGGUUGUUUGGGAAUGCAGCUCAAAAUGGGUGGUAAAUUCCAUCUAAAGCUAAAUAUUGGCGAGAGACCGAUAGCGAACAAGUACCGUGAGGGAAAGAUGAAAAGAACUUUGGAAAGAGAGUUAAACAGUACGUGAAAUUGCUGAAAGGGAAACGCUUGAAGUCAGUCGCGUUGUCCAGGGAUCAACCUUGCUUUUGCUUGGUGCACUUUCUGGUUGACGGGUCAGCAUCAAUUUUGACUAUUGGAAAAAGAUUAGGGGAAUGUGACAUCUUUGGAUGUGUUAUAGCCCUUGGUUGCAUACAAUGGUUGGGAUUGAGGAACUCAGCACGCCGCAAGGCCGGGUUUUAAACCACGUACGUGCUUAGGAUGCUGGCAUAAUGGCUUUAAUCGACCCGU
Molecule: ribosomal RNA, 669 nt
Filed under: Cortinarius junghuhnii
Lineage: Eukaryota; Fungi; Basidiomycota; Agaricomycetes; Agaricales; Cortinariaceae
Description: eukaryotic LSU rRNA
Rfam family: Eukaryotic large subunit ribosomal RNA
Source: RNAcentral